CUCGGGUUACCGAAUUCAGACAAACUCCGAAUGCCAAUUAAUUUAACUUGGGAGUCAGAACAUGGGUGAUAAGGUCCGUGUUCGAAAGGGAAACAGCCCAGACCACCAGCUAAGGUCCCAAAAUAUAUGUUAAGUGGAAAAGGAUGUGGCGUUGCCCAGACAACUAGGAUGUUGGCUUAGAAGCAGCCAUCAUUUAAAGAGUGCGUAAUAGCUCACUAGUCGAGUGACACUGCGCCGAAAAUGUACCGGGGCUAAACAUAUUACCGAAGCUGUGGAUUGUCCUUUGGACAAUGGUAGGAGAGCGUUCUAAGGGCGUUGAAGCAUGAUCGUAAGGACAUGUGGAGCGCUUAGAAGUGAGAAUGCCGGUGUGAGUAGCGAAAGACGGGUGAGAAUCCCGUCCACCGAUUGACUAAGGUUUCCAGAGGAAGGCUCGUCCGCUCUGGGUUAGUCGGGUCCUAAG
RNAcentral lists this ribosomal RNA (460 nucleotides) under Staphylococcus aureus. Its description in RNAcentral is "partial 23S ribosomal RNA". It matches the Rfam family "Bacterial large subunit ribosomal RNA", at positions 930 to 1395 of the family's 2925-position model. Lineage: Bacteria; Bacillati; Bacillota; Bacilli; Caryophanales; Staphylococcaceae. The record is from RNAcentral.